CUGGCCCUAAAGGUAGAAGACGUUCCGUAAAAGUUCGAGUAGUGUUUAUAUGUAAAAACUUGUAUUAUAUUUAUCAUAAACGUGAAAUAUUUUUUAAAAAAUUUUUAAAAUUUUUUUAUUUAUUUAAUUUUUUACAAAGGUAGGAAAAUUACUCAGAGGAGACAGGUGCAACACCUUAGCUACACAGAAAGGAACUAGGACAGCCUUUGAUGUUAGCUAGCAACAGCUAUGGCUGCUGUGAAGCCUGCAGUGUUGUUUGCAACACGGUAGUCCAAGAAACAAGUGACUUAUCAAGUCGGCAGCAUGACAUGAUUCCUGUUCCAUCAUUUCCCUCUGAUUCCUCUCAGAUAUUCAGACGUGGAGCAUGGGGCAGAAGAGCGGGACACCACAUCCUACCGAAGUCAGCGCCAGAAGUCAAAGGACACUAGGCAUACAGUACAAUAUAUUGCUUAACCCUGUAAAAACUGAAAGUAGUCCUGAUGAUGCUCGAUUGGUUUGUGAAAUCUUUCUUUUAUGAUAAAGUUUAUAGUUAGGGCUGGAUCAGGUGACCCUGAAUCCUCCUUUUUUUAUGCUAAAAUAGACCUCGGCUGCUGAGGGUUUCCCAUGAUGCACUGAGUGUUUCUUCUUCUUCUUUUCUUACCCAUUUUCAAUCACUGUGUGCUUAAACAUCACUCUGCAUUCAGUCACCAGCUAUUAUUAAUCUCUGGCUCUCAUCCACAGUGUUUCUUCGUCCCAUCUUCCUCCCCUCACCACCAACCUGUCGAGGCAGAUGGUCGCCCCUUCCCUGAGCCUGGUUCUGCUGGAGGUUUCUAUCUGUUAAAAAGACCUUUUUCCUUUCCAUUAUCGCCAAAGUGCUUGCUCAUAGCAGGUCACCUGAUUGUCGGGGUUUUUGCUCUAUAAUUGUAAAGUCUUUACCUCACAAUAUAAGUGCCCUGAGGCUCUGUUGUUGUGAUUUGGCCUAUAUAAAUAAAACCGAACCAAAUUGAAUAGAAUUAUUAUUGUUUGAUUUACAAUCCAUUGAGGAGAUGUACAGAGGCAAAAUAACUGUAUCUCCUAAUUAGUGCUCAGUAACAUAUAAAUGAAAUCUGUGCAUUUUACUCAACAAAGCUGGAGCUCAAACUGGCCCACCAUAAGUCAUUACUGUAAUCACAUUACAUUCUAAUGCAUUAAUGUUCUAAAUUCUGUUCUAAGGUAAUCCCAUUACUGUAGUCAAACUUUAAUGUGAUUGCAUAAGUUCUUAAAGGCGUGUAGCCAUUUGUAGCUAGAAUCUGAUUUUUAGUUUGUUUCUUUUUUGGUAACAUUUUGUGUUAAUAUUUAAACACUAUAAGUUAGAUCCGGUUUGUGUCCUCAUUAGAGUGAUUCGUGUGUUGGACCGUAACCUAAGAUUUAUAUUGUCAACUGGUGAUUAUACGAGGCCAUGUUACAGUGCAAUGCAAAAGUAAUGUGACAAGUAGUGUAACAAAUUACUCUCCUUGGGUGCAAACAAUGUAUGUAGUGCAUUACUUGUUAAAAAAUAAAC
RNAcentral lists this long non-coding RNA (1519 nucleotides) under Oreochromis niloticus (Nile tilapia). Its description in RNAcentral is "lncRNA (ENSONIG00000042496.1)". Lineage: Eukaryota; Metazoa; Chordata; Actinopteri; Cichliformes; Cichlidae. The record is from RNAcentral.